GAUGAAGAACGCAGCGAAAUGCGAUAAGUAGUGUGAAUUGCAGAACUCAGUGAAUCAUCGAAUCUUUGAACGCACAUUGCGCCCCUUGGUAUUCCAUGGGGCAUGCCUGUUCGAGCGUCAUUUGUACCUUCAAGCUCUGCUUGGUGUUGGGUGUUUGUCUCGCCUCUGCGUGUAGACUCGCCUCAAAACAAUUGGCAGCCGGCGUAUUGAUUUCGGAGCGCAGUACAUCUCGCGCUUUGCACUCAUAACGACGACGUCCAAAAGUACAUUUUUACACUCUUGACCUCGGAUCAGGUAGGGAUACCCGCUGAACUUAAGCAUAUCAAUAAGCGGAGGA
RNAcentral lists this unclassified non-coding RNA (337 nucleotides) under soil metagenome. Its description in RNAcentral is "partial contains 5.8S ribosomal RNA, internal transcribed spacer 2, and large subunit ribosomal RNA". The stretch from base 1 to 120 matches the Rfam family "5.8S ribosomal RNA", at positions 35 to 154 of the family's 154-position model. The record is from RNAcentral.